UCGGACGUGGUGCACGGUGCACAUCCCUUCAACCUGAGUAACCCCAGGGAUCUAAUUAACAGCGGGAAGCCCGGGUUCGACUCCCGGCGUCCGAA
Molecule: non-coding RNA, 95 nt
Organism: Mycena latifolia
Lineage: Eukaryota; Fungi; Basidiomycota; Agaricomycetes; Agaricales; Mycenaceae
Source: the annotation of a GenBank genome assembly